UUAUAAUUGUGUUGCUUGCUCUGGUGGCUUCUUGUGAACCAGUUUUUUUUGUUAUGUGCUUGUGGUUCAAUUUCACGAUUUGGUUAUAGUGUUUAAUUUCUUUCUGCUUCUUCAGGUGCUUUUAUUUGCUUAGGUCAUGUUACUUGAAAGCAUAUAUGUUCAUGAAUUCAUUAGAUCCUGGGGAACUUAUUAUGGUUGUUCAGAGAUUACUUUACUCGGGUAAUAUAAUUGAGUUCUCAUUAUUUUGCUGGCAGUAUUGAAAUCCGGUUAACGUGUAUAGGAAAUGUGGGGGGUUGUGUUUUUUGACAUUGAAACCGGAGACCAUUGGUAUUGAAAAUGGACCUGAAGGUUAACUGAUGGCUUGCCCUGAUCUUUUAUAUUUGAUACAAAUAGGUAGACCCUUUGGUGGCAGCCAUCAAUCUAGUUUAGUAAUGUGUUUGGAUAUAAUUAUAUAUGAUAUUUACCACUGAAAUACCUGAGUUUAAAUGAGUUCUUGAACUGAUUUUGAAAUUUGAGACAACAUGACAUUGCUCUCAUUUGCCGUUAAAGUACAAUAUUUUGUGCAUGAAGUUCUUGUGUACAAAACUAGACUGUACGACUGUAA
Molecule: RNA transcript, 604 nt
Organism: Fragaria vesca subsp. vesca
Lineage: Eukaryota; Viridiplantae; Streptophyta; Magnoliopsida; Rosales; Rosaceae
Exons: 2
Source: RefSeq, a predicted model, not a curated record